This 266-nucleotide ribosomal RNA is filed under the name uncultured soil bacterium. Its description in RNAcentral is "partial 16S ribosomal RNA". It matches the Rfam family "Bacterial small subunit ribosomal RNA", at positions 26 to 286 of the family's 1533-position model. The record is from RNAcentral.
AGGAUGAACGCUGGCGGCGUGCUUAACACAUGCAAGUCGAACGAUGAAGCCGGAGCUUGCUCUGGUGGAUUGGUGGCGAACGGGUGAGUAACACGUGAGUAACCUGCCCUUGACUCUGGGAUAAGCACUGGAAACGGUGUCUAAUACCGGAUACGAGUCUUUAGCCGCAUGGCUAGGAGCUAGGAAAGUAAUUUCGGUCAAGGAUGGACUCGCGGCCUAUCAGGUAGUUGGUGAGGUAACCGGCCCACCAAGCCUACGACGGGUAC